AGCAGCCGCGGUAAUUCCAGCUCCAAUAGCGUAUAUUAAAGUUGUUGCAGUUAAAAAGCUCGUAGUUGAAUUUCGAGACCGGUUUAUUGGUCGUGCUUUUGUACGUACUGGUAUUAUUGGUUUCUCCUUUCUGACGAAUCUUAAUGCCAUUAAUUUGGUGUUUUGGGGAAUCAGGACUGUUACUUUGAAAAAAUUAGAGUGUUUAAAGCAGGCUCACGCUUGAAUACAUUAGCAUGGAAUAACGGAAUAGGACGUUUGAUUCUAUUUUGUUGGUUUCUAGGAUCGACGUAAUGAUUAAUAGGGAUAGUUGGGGGCAUUAGUAUUCAAUUGUCAGAGGUGAAAUUCUUGGAUUUAUUGAAGACUAACUACUGCGAAAGCAUUUGCCAAGGAUGUUUUCAUUAAUCAAGAACGAAAGUUAGGGGAUCGAAGACGAUCAGAUACCGUCGUAGUCUUAACCGAUAAACUAUGCCGACUAGGGAUCGGAUGAUGUUAAUUUUUAAUGACUCAUUCGGCGCCUUAC
RNAcentral lists this ribosomal RNA (520 nucleotides) under uncultured Glomus. RNAcentral's name for it is "SSU rRNA". It matches the Rfam family "Eukaryotic small subunit ribosomal RNA", at positions 569 to 1091 of the family's 1831-position model. Lineage: Eukaryota; Fungi; Glomeromycota; Glomeromycetes; Glomerales; Glomeraceae. The record is from RNAcentral.